GAACAGGAGCCACUCCGAAAGGUGUCCUUAAAGUAAUGUCCGUGCCAGGAUUAACCAUAUACCAUGUGAAGAGUCACUUGCAGAAAUAUCGACUGGCAAAAUACAUCCCCGAGUCUUCAACAGAUGGCUCCAAGGCUGAAAAGAAAGAACCUGGUGAGCUGAUUUCUAGCUUGGAUAACUCUUC
Dendrobium catenatum is the source of this 184-nucleotide long non-coding RNA. RefSeq lists it as uncharacterized. NCBI's taxonomy places the organism in Eukaryota, Viridiplantae, Streptophyta, Magnoliopsida, Asparagales, Orchidaceae. The transcript is spliced from 3 exons. The record is from RefSeq and is a predicted model, not a curated record.